Molecule: ribosomal RNA, 253 nt
Filed under: uncultured bacterium
Lineage: Bacteria
Description: partial 16S ribosomal RNA
Rfam family: Bacterial small subunit ribosomal RNA
Source: RNAcentral
UACGUAGGUGGCAAGCGUUGUCCGGAAUUAUUGGGCGUAAAGCGCGCGCAGGUGGUUUCUUAAGUCUGAUGUGAAAGCCCACGGCUCAACCGUGGAGAGUCAUUGGAAACUGGGGAACUUGAGUGCAGGAGAGAAGAGUGGAAUUCCACGUGUAGCGGUGAAAUGCGUAGAGAUGUGGAGGAACACCGGUGGCGAAGGCGACCAUCUGGACGGAUACUGACGCUGAGACGCGAAAGCGUGGGUAGCAAACAGG